RNAcentral lists this long non-coding RNA (1063 nucleotides) under Felis catus (domestic cat). Its description in RNAcentral is "lncRNA (ENSFCAG00000041035.2)". Lineage: Eukaryota; Metazoa; Chordata; Mammalia; Carnivora; Felidae. The record is from RNAcentral.
GAAAUGGUAGGGGUGCAAACACCGGGCUUAAGGAUUUUUCUCUUUUCCACUGUGUUCUCCAGCUAUCAAGAGCCUUAUCCUAGCACACAAGCUGUCCUUGCCCGUCUAAUGUAUUAUUUCCAUAACAUAUUUCUUGAUUCUAAAUAUUUGAGAGAGGAGGUUUUAUUUUCUCCUUGUCUCCUUGCCUUUUUUUUUUUUUUUUUUUUUUUCCUUUUUUAAGCCACUCGACUCUCCACGGGGUUUACUCAGAGCCAUAGCGUUUCAUAAACCAGAAUGGAUUUAAACUUUAUUGCCCCUCAGUUUUAUUGCUUCUGCUGGGUGACAGUGUAAAUAUUCCUGGGGUUGUUAAUGUUCCCUAAUGUGAACGGGGAGUAGAGGUCUAUGAACAAAUGGUUUGCUGCUAACGGGUUGGAAAAUGCGAUUUUUAGAUCUUUCACUGAAACUCAACAUGACAGCACCUUGCGUUUGGAUAUCGGGCGAUAUUUCUCAAGGCUUCGCUUGCCAUGCAUCACCUUACUGACCCUGACGGUAGCUCGGUGAACUUGAAGAGCAGACAUGGAAGCAAAGACCCACGAAGGACAAGUUUCGCACGUAAUGUUGGAACCAUUGUUACUGCCUUGAUUUUAGGUGUCUCCUGGGGAGCUUCCCUUACGUCUAGGAGCCUGCCAUACCCCUGCUCACCCCCUGGCCGUUUGCACGGGACCCGAGCUGUUGUGACACCACCCUCCCCUGGGAGCACUCUUGGCCCAGUGAGGCCUGGCCCACCGGCAGACCUGCGGCUCUCUUCUCCUUGUUUUCCUUCACCUUAUUCUAGAAGUUACACAGUACCUGUUGCUCUGUAACUAGCCCGUUGCCACGUAACAGACGGUGGGGGGUGACGAGGUCUAGAAAUAACUCCCCUCCCUUCCAAACAGGCAGAAAUCGUGGUGUCAGUUUAUUGCCAGUGAAAGCGAGGCCAGGGGAUGUGGCUUUUGUAUCGGACCCACCCAGUUGUUGCGUGGGCCCGCGGAGGGACACGCUUCCCCAGGGUUGCUGCCUCCUUCUGGGAAGAGAAGGAGGAAAG